CGUUAAUCGGAAUUACUGGGCGUAAAGCGCAUGCAGGUGGUUUGUUAAGUCAGAUGUGAAAGCCCGGGGCUCAACCUCGGAAUUGCAUUUGAAACUGGCAACUAGAGUACUGUAGAGGGGGUAGAAUUUCAGGUGUAGCGGUGAAAUGCGUAGAGAUCUGAAGGAAUACCGGGUGGCGAAGGCGGCCCCCUGGACAGAUACUGACACUCAGAUGCGAAAGCGUGGGGAGCAAACAGGAUUAGAUACCCUCGGUAG
Molecule: ribosomal RNA, 255 nt
Filed under: uncultured bacterium
Lineage: Bacteria
Description: partial 16S ribosomal RNA
Rfam family: Bacterial small subunit ribosomal RNA
Source: RNAcentral